UUCAAAAUUUUAUAUUUGAACAAAAAAGUGAACUUUUGUAAUUUUAUCUGAAUGAGAAAAUGUUUAAAUGGAAAGUAAAUAUUAUAUCUCAAAGUUAUCUCUAUUUAACAAACUUAUUUCCUAAAUUAUAAAACCUCUUUUUCUUUUUUAAUUUAGAAGGACAUAAAUAUCCAAUAAUUAUGUUAAAGAUUUUUUUAUCUAUAAAAACGAAUAAGAUAUCCCUUUUAUUCAGAUAUUAGAAAAUUAAAAUAAACAUAUUAUUAAGAAACUUGUAUUAAGAUCCAUUUAAACUUUAGAAAAAUUAAAAGUCAUUUAGACUUUUGAAAAAAGUUUAAACUUACUCAUAUUUCAGACAAACAAAGUAAACACUAUUUAGCAAAACAAAAUAUUAUUAUUUUUUAUUUUAUUAUAUAUUUCCCUGCUCUUCUCUCUUUUCUCUCUUUUCUCGUUGACAAUCACCCUCAUCACUUUAUCAACAAGAAGUUCAUCACUACCACCAUCUAUCUUCUUCAUUAUCAAUUAAUCCCAAAGGUGGCCAAUAGGGCAAGCGGCACGUGGCAUGUGGCAUGACAUGACACGAGCACAUUUUGACAAGGCAUGCGGCACAACACGGCACGCACGUGGGCCAAGCCGGGCUCAAAUUGUUAGGCAUUUAGGCCUUAAAAUCAUGGCACAUGAAAAAUCAUGUAAUAAGCAUGCUUCACUGGUGGGUUAGCACGCAACCCGUUGCCUAAAAUAAAUGAAAGUAAUUUUUUUAAUAAAAAGUAAAAAUAAAAUGUUAUGAUUUUACAA
This 792-nucleotide long non-coding RNA is filed under the name Citrus x clementina. RNAcentral describes it as "Citrus clementina (C. clementina) long non-coding RNA (CCLE_LNC003936)". Lineage: Eukaryota; Viridiplantae; Streptophyta; Magnoliopsida; Sapindales; Rutaceae. The record is from RNAcentral.